CGAGAUGCUAAGAGGUGGGGCCCCUGGAAAUGUGAGGGGAAUGAUGGAAAGAAUAUUGUGGUAACUCACAGUGAAGCGGACCCGGUGCUGUGUUAUCCCUAAUACAAAGGAAAGCAACUAUAAACCCAGCCAGGGGAGCACCUCCGCUUCAGGAAUCAUUCACGACGAGAGAACAUACUCCCACUUGGCAGUGGAAGUUACAGCAAAAAAUUCCAGGGUUGUGCUCCCCAACACCAGCAUUAGAGCAUAGACUCUGAUGCUUUUACAGAGAUCAAGUCUCUCAAGUAUGGCCUGCCUCCUAACAAAGAGAAGUUAUUGAAGCAGUUCAGCACAGAACAAGAAGUAAUCAAACAUGACUAUUUGGGCAGGAUUAUUGUGAUAUGAGUAUCCAACCUCACACUGCCAACAAUUUGCUGGAAGAUUUAACUUGGCAAAUAAAAAUUGAAUUUUUGUGGGCUCAUAACAGUCCAUAUUGGACAAUAUUUUUAAUAAUCUUAAAGCCAGAACGUUAUAAUUCAGAAAGGAUUGGAGUGAGAGAGAUGACGUAA
RNAcentral lists this long non-coding RNA (548 nucleotides) under Vulpes vulpes (red fox). RNAcentral describes it as "lncRNA (ENSVVUG00000029502.1)". The record is from RNAcentral. Lineage: Eukaryota; Metazoa; Chordata; Mammalia; Carnivora; Canidae.